AUGCAAACAAUGAUCAAUUAUAUGAUAUCUGUCAGUAAUACACAUUCAGAAAAUAAUCGCAGACAUACCACGCAGUGCACGCACUCCACUUCUCCAACCGAAGGCAAGCCAUUGAUGGUUAUCUUACCUCUGCCAGUGAAAAGAAAGUGUCGGUGGCAUAUGAAGACUGCAACGAAAUUCGAUCCAUCCGGCUUAACUCGAGCAGAGAAAGAGUGCGGGUUAACUCGAGCAGACAGGAACUGCCCCCCUCCGCCGAGUCGCCGUCGUCGACCUAUCCAGGCCGGGCCGGCCACUUCCUUCUCUGCCCCAGCCCCCAGCCACGGUGGGCACGGUGUCAUCAAUACUCGUCCUCCUCACUGCUCCUCCCGUUGA
This 372-nucleotide ribosomal RNA is filed under the name Triticum aestivum (bread wheat). Its description in RNAcentral is "partial small subunit ribosomal RNA". Lineage: Eukaryota; Viridiplantae; Streptophyta; Magnoliopsida; Poales; Poaceae. The record is from RNAcentral.